AAAACUUGAAGCGAGUCACCUGGGAAGUACGGUCUCAAGGCUGAAACUUAAAGGAAUUGGCGGGGGAGCACUACAACGGGUGGAGCCUGCGGUUCAAUUGGAUUCAACGCCGGAAAGCUUACCGGGUCAGACAGCAAUAUGAAGGUCAAGCUAAAGACUUUACCUAAUUCGCUGAGAGGAGGUGCAUGGCCGUCGUCAGUUCGUAUCGUGAGACAUCCUGUUAAGUCAGGCAACGAGCAAGACCCGUGCCUACAGUUGCCAGCAUACCCUCCGGGGUGAUGGGCACACUGUGGGGACCGCCGCUGCUAAAGCGGAGGAAGGAGCGGGCUACGGUAGGUCAGUAUGCCCCGAAUCAUCCGGGCUACACGCGGGCUACAAUGGUUGGGACAAUGGGCACCUACACCGAGAGGUGAUGGUAAUCUCCUAAACCCAGCCUUAGUUCGGAUUGAGGGCUGCAACUCGCCCUCAUGAAGCCGGAAUCCGUAGUAAUCGCGUAUCAACAUCACGCGGUAAAUACGUCCCUGCUCCUUGUACACACCGCCCGUGAAUC
This 550-nucleotide ribosomal RNA is filed under the name uncultured methanogenic archaeon. RNAcentral describes it as "bacterial SSU rRNA". It matches the Rfam family "Archaeal small subunit ribosomal RNA", at positions 809 to 1358 of the family's 1478-position model. Lineage: Archaea; Methanobacteriati; Methanobacteriota. The record is from RNAcentral.